This 483-nucleotide ribosomal RNA is filed under the name Sancus acoreensis. RNAcentral's name for it is "partial 16S ribosomal RNA". The stretch from base 1 to 281 matches the Rfam family "Bacterial large subunit ribosomal RNA", at positions 2096 to 2642 of the family's 2925-position model. Lineage: Eukaryota; Metazoa; Arthropoda; Arachnida; Araneae; Tetragnathidae. The record is from RNAcentral.
AAACUUUACUUUAGUUUAACUGGGGCAGUUAAUUAAUAAAAAUUUUAAUAAAGAUUAAGUACUAAAUAGANNNCCCAACANUAGUUGAUUACANUGAACAAGUUACUGUAGGGAUAACAGCGUAAUAUAUAUCUAAAGUUCUUAUUUUGAUAUAAGUUUGCGACCUCGAUGUUGAAUUNAUAUUACUUUCAAGCGCAAGAGCCUGAAAAGUGGGUCUGUUCGACCCCUAAAUAUAUACAUGAUUUGAGUUCAAAUCGGUGUAAACCAGAUUGGUUUCUAUCUAUUNUUAUUUGUGUCUUAGUACGAAAGGACCUGAAACAAUAUUAUAUAAUNAUUUAUAUGGCAGAAAAAUGCUUUAGAUUUAGGAUCUAAUUAUAAUAGAUUAUUAUACUCUAUUUAACUUGCCUAAUCUCUGUUAUUAGAAUCCUUAUCGCAGUAGCUUUUUAUACCCUCCUAGAGCGAAAAAUUCUAAGCUACAUCCAA